RNAcentral lists this ribosomal RNA (400 nucleotides) under uncultured bacterium. RNAcentral describes it as "bacterial SSU rRNA". It matches the Rfam family "Bacterial small subunit ribosomal RNA", at positions 28 to 425 of the family's 1533-position model. The record is from RNAcentral.
GACGAACGCUGGCGGCGUGCUUAACACAUGCAAGUCGAGCGGAAAGGCCCUUCGGGGUACUCGAGCGGCGAACGGGUGAGUAACACGUGAGUAACCUGCCCUUGGCUCUGGGAUAAGCCCGGGAAACUGGGUCUAAUACCGGAUACGACCACUGGAUGCAUGCCUGGUGGUGGAAAGUUUUUCGGUCGUGGGGAGUGGACUCGCGGUCUAUCAGCUUGUUGGUGGGGUGGAUGGCCUACCAAGGCGACGACGGAUAGCCGGCCUGAGAGGGUGGACCGGCCACACUGGGACGUGAGACACGGCCCACGACUCCUACGGGAGGGCAGCAGUGGGGAAUAUUGCGCAAUGGGCGGAAAGCCUGACGCAGCAACGCCGCGUGGGGAGUGAAGGCUUUCGGUUG